AGAGUUUGAUCCUGGCUCAGAUUGAACGCUGGCGGCAGGCCUAACACAUGCAAGUCGAGCGAGAAAGGUCUUCGGACUGAGUACAGCGGCGGACGGGUGAGUAACGCGUAGGAAUCUACCCAGUAGUGGGGGACAACUUGGGGAAACCCAAGCUAAUACCGCAUACGCCCCAAGGGGGAAAGCGGGGGCUCUCUUCGGAGACCUCGCGCUAUUGGAUGAGCCUGCGUCGGAUUAGCUAGUUGGUGGGGUAAAGGCCUACCAAGGCGACGAUCCGUAGCUGGUCUGAGAGGACGAUCAGCCACACUGGGACUGAGACACGGCCCANACUCCUACGGGAGGCAGCAGUGGGGAAUAUUGCGCAAUGGGCGAAAGCCUGACGCA
RNAcentral lists this ribosomal RNA (381 nucleotides) under uncultured bacterium. RNAcentral describes it as "bacterial SSU rRNA". It matches the Rfam family "Bacterial small subunit ribosomal RNA", at positions 8 to 390 of the family's 1533-position model. The record is from RNAcentral.